RNAcentral lists this ribosomal RNA (513 nucleotides) under Klebsiella pneumoniae. RNAcentral describes it as "bacterial SSU rRNA". It matches the Rfam family "Bacterial small subunit ribosomal RNA", at positions 117 to 626 of the family's 1533-position model. Lineage: Bacteria; Pseudomonadati; Pseudomonadota; Gammaproteobacteria; Enterobacterales; Enterobacteriaceae. The record is from RNAcentral.
CUGGGAAACUGCCUGAUGGAGGGGGAUAACUACUGGAAACGGUAGCUAAUACCGCAUAACGUCGCAAGACCAAAGUGGGGGACCUUCGGGCCUCAUGCCAUCAGAUGUGCCCAGAUGGGAUUAGCUAGUAGGUGGGGUAACGGCUCACCUAGGCGACGAUCCCUAGCUGGUCUGAGAGGAUGACCAGCCACACUGGAACUGAGACACGGUCCAGACUCCUACGGGAGGCAGCAGUGGGGAAUAUUGCACAAUGGGCGCAAGCCUGAUGCAGCCAUGCCGCGUGUGUGAAGAAGGCCUUCGGGUUGUAAAGCACUUUCAGCGGGGAGGAAGGCGUUGAGGUUAAUAACCUUGUCGAUUGACGUUACCCGCAGAAGAAGCACCGGCUAACUCCGUGCCAGCAGCCGCGGUAAUACGGAGGGUGCAAGCGUUAAUCGGAAUUACUGGGCGUAAAGCGCACGCAGGCGGUCUGUCAAGUCGGAUGUGAAAUCCCCGGGCUCAACCUGGGAACUGCAU